This 497-nucleotide ribosomal RNA is filed under the name uncultured bacterium. Its description in RNAcentral is "partial 16S ribosomal RNA". It matches the Rfam family "Bacterial small subunit ribosomal RNA", at positions 28 to 507 of the family's 1533-position model. The record is from RNAcentral.
GAUGAACGCUGGCGGCGUGCCUAAUACAUGCGAGUCGAGCGAACAGACGAGGAGCUUGCUCCUCUGACGUUAGCGGCGGACGGGUGAGUAACACGUGGAUAACCUACCUAUAAGACUGGGAUAACUUCGGGAAACCGGAGCUAAUACCGGAUAAUAUAUUGAACCGCAUGGUUCAAUAGUGAAAGACGGUUUUGCUGUCACUUAUAGAUGGAUCCGCGCCGCAUUAGCUAGUUGGUAAGGUAACGGCUUACCAAGGCAACGAUGCGUAGCCGACCUGAGAGGGUGAUCGGCCACACUGGAACUGAGACACGGUCCAGACUCCUACGGGAGGCAGCAGUAGGGAAUCUUCCGCAAUGGGCGAAAGCCUGACGGAGCAACGCCGCGUGAGUGAUGAAGGUCUUCGGAUCGUAAAACUCUGAUAUUAGGGAAGAACAAAUGUGUAAGUAACUAUGCACGUCUUGACGGUACCUAAUCAGAAAGCCACGGCUAACUACGUG